CCUACGCGUGGCAGCAGUGGGGAAUAUUGCACAAUGGGGGAAACCCUGAUGCAGCAACGCCGCGUGAGUGAAGAAGUAUUUCGGUAUGUAAAGCUCUAUCAGCAGGGAAGAAGAUGACGGUACCUGAUUAAGAAGCCCCGGCUAACUACGUGCCAGCAGCCGCGGUAAUACGUAGGGGGCAAGCGGUCUCCGGAUGUACGGGGUGGAAAGGGAAAGUAGGUGGCAAGGCAAGGCAGAUGUGAAAACCCGGGGCCCAACCCCGGGAGUGCAUUUGAAACUGGCUGGCUAGAGUGCAGGAGAGGUAAGUGGAAUUCCUGGUGUAGCGGUGAAAUGCAUAGAUAUUAGGAGGAACACCAGUGGCGAAGGCGGCUUACUGGACUGUAACUGACACUGAGGCUCGAAAGCGUGGGGAGCAAACAGGAUUAGAUACCCCAGUAGUC
This 440-nucleotide ribosomal RNA is filed under the name uncultured bacterium. Its description in RNAcentral is "partial 16S ribosomal RNA". It matches the Rfam family "Bacterial small subunit ribosomal RNA", at positions 338 to 795 of the family's 1533-position model. The record is from RNAcentral.